RNAcentral lists this small RNA (347 nucleotides) under Pan troglodytes (chimpanzee). RNAcentral's name for it is "processed transcript". The record is from RNAcentral. Lineage: Eukaryota; Metazoa; Chordata; Mammalia; Primates; Hominidae.
CUGUUGAAGAUGGAGUUGCUCUGGUUCAAACAGCUCUGACAAUAACAAUUAGAACCCCAUGUGAAGUAGAUUUUUCUGGAUGAAAUUGUUUAGAGAAGUUCCAUUGUAAACAAAGCCACAUAGCAUCACACUUUUUACCCAAGUUUUUACUAUACUGCAGCCUUUUGUGUACGUUUUGAGAACAUCCAAGACAUAAACCUGACCAGAGAAGAAGGGAGAUUGUAUCCAAGAAUAAUAGGGAUUUAGAUUUGCUGGUCAGAAUGGAGCCAGACAUUCAGUUUGAGUACGGUUGAUGGUACGUUUUUGAGAUGCUGCAGCGGCGACUUUCAGUUUCAUUUCCACGGACC